CCUGAGAGGAAGAAGCAAUUGAAAGCGAAAGGGGAGAGGCCACCCAGUGUUGCUUAAUCAGGGAAAUCUGUGUCUUGUGAGCUCAUACCCUGAUAAGUUCUGGAGUGGGAACUGGGCUGGGGUAGAGAGGUGGAGGGAGAUGAUGGUGCUCUGCAUGCCUUCACCACACAUCUGGCACUUCCUCCUGGGCAGGAAAAAGCCACCAAAAUUGAACAUUUAUGGGCUGAUCCUUGCAGGAACUGUUCACCCGAAAGUCCCUUUGCUGAGGUCAUGGCACUCCCCUUGAGGAACCAGCAACAGCGGAGGGUUGCUUCUUGAGCUGCCCUUGGAAGGUUUUACAAUAUAAAACAGAGGAAGGACCAAAAACAGAUGGAGGUGAAACCAGGGGAUUUGAGGGAGCAGCUGAGGGCAAUGAUAAGUGCUGAUAGAGAUGGAGCAGGGAGGGCUCCUGGAGUAUUGGGAGCAACUGAUGUAGGCUGGCAGUGCCCCCCUGCCCUGAGACCUGCAGCAGCACAGUGCUGGAGUAGCUGUGGUUCCUGAGGGCUGCGUGAUACAUGCUCGCUCCGUAGGAGAGAGAGGGAGAAAUCAGUCGCUCCUCGAGGAGAUCCGUCUCCAUCAGUCAACCAGCUGCAUCCCUUCAUUAAUCUUCCCUAACUUGCUGAAAUGUCUUUCGAUGGAUGAAGCAACGGAGAGUAGAAGAACAGAGCCUGGCAGGCUGCUUGCACAACUCCUGGAACAGGUGGAAGUGAGAUAGCAGAUAACAGGACUGCAGGAGUGUCUGCAUGGCAGGGUUUUGGGACUGGAUGUCUUCCCUCCCAACACCUGGUGGCUUUGUCCAGCUGCAGCCUUGGGAGGACAACCUGCCUGUGUUUGGCUCGUGUCCUUGAGGGCUGAAAACAAAAAACAACAAGAAGAGAAAACUUGCUGUCAGCAAUACUCUAUAUAUCCAGAGCUGUGCUAGGGAACCGCCAAGCUUCCUGAUACCCUGUGUUGGCUGAGAGGCAAUGAGAUUAAGGGAAGCAUAACUUCCAUAAAGAAUUUUUUGAAGGUAUGUAUACAUAAUGUAUAUGUGUAUGUAUUUAAACAUAAAGAUUUUAGGUAUCCAGUUUAAUUUACUGAGCUGCUCUGAUGGAUUCUGAAGUGGUGCCCAUUGUGGGGCCAGCAUUUGGGGUUUUUGGAGACCCUUCCCUUGCCCGUGGGCAUCUUGGGCUGAGCAUUUUGGAUUGAAGCUGCUCUCUCUGAUGGCCCAGGCUGUGUUUCGUUAUUCUUUAGGACACAAAUCUCCCCCUAAAUUCCUGAGAGCUGCUGCCUG
Molecule: long non-coding RNA, 1312 nt
Organism: Tympanuchus pallidicinctus (lesser prairie-chicken)
Lineage: Eukaryota; Metazoa; Chordata; Aves; Galliformes; Phasianidae
Exons: 4
Source: RefSeq, a predicted model, not a curated record